GUUUUAUUGCUGGUUUCAAUUGUCUGGAUCGAGCCUUUCCUCCUCUUGAGGCUGGGCAGGGCUGCUCAAACAGCUCCCUGUGCUCUCACCCCCGUGCCUCAUCGUGCUGGGUUUGGGCAUUUCCCCUUUGGAAACGAAUCCUCUGCAGCCUCUCUGAGGGCUGUGCACAACCUGAAGUAAUUGAAUUUGCCUUGGGUUGAACUCUUCUGGCACUCUCUAAAAAUAAACAUUCGAUUUCUUCUCCUUCCCGUGGAGCUGCCUCUGCAGGGAGCAGAACCAAACAAACUGGUGAAAAAUUAAAGAGGGAAACCCAGCAGAAGGGAUACGAGAUGGCAACAGCACAGCCCCGAGACUGUCAGGAGCCUAAACCCACAGCAGCCAGUGGCAAAUAAAUCCAGGGGAUGGCCUUGGGCACCUUUUGCGACAGUCGCGCUUUACAGCGCCUUUUACGACAGUCGAGCUUUACGGCGCCUUUUGCGACAGUCGCGCUUUACGGCACUUUUUACGACAGUAGCGCUUUACGGCACCUUUUACGACAGUUUUACGACAGUCGCGCUUUACGGCACCUUUUACGACAGUCACGCUUUACGGCAGCUUUUACGACAGUUUUACGACAGUCGCGCUUUACGGCCGUUUUUACGACAGUUUUACGACAGUCGCGCUUUACAGCCGCCUUUACGACAGUCGCGCUUUACGGCCGUCUUUUCGGCAGUCGCGCUUUACGGCCGGCUUUACGACAGUCGCACUUUACGGCACCUUUUACGACAGUCGCGCUUUACGGCACCUUUGGAACGUGACAAUCCAGGGGACAUCAAACAUGACACAUGCUUGUGGUGAGGGCCUCGAGGGAAAAAGGCAAAAGGUGUGUGUGCCCCAAAGACACACUAGGUAACACAGCACACUGGACAACACAACAUAGACCAGAACUGUUCUGCACUGCCUGCCUGAAAGCUGCCAUCAAAAGUAGAGCCUCUCCCUUUAGCUGUCCUAAGAGGCCCUUGGGGAAGAUUGCUUUUCCCUCUGCUAAUUUUUAAAUCUGUCCCAAGAACUCCCCACCUGCUACUCUCCCAUCAUCCCAUCUCCAAGCCAUGGCCCUCAACUUAUCUUUUGGAUGAUUGGUGAUGUGGAUCCACGUUGCACCUGAAAUGAGUCUGCCUUGGAGGGCCCCGUGAUGGCCUGUUAGCUUCUUGGUUAGCUACAAUAAAGAAAACCAAAACCAUGCUGGCUGUUGUCCC
This 1235-nucleotide long non-coding RNA is filed under the name Zonotrichia albicollis (white-throated sparrow). RNAcentral's name for it is "lncRNA (ENSZALG00000010417.1)". Lineage: Eukaryota; Metazoa; Chordata; Aves; Passeriformes; Passerellidae. The record is from RNAcentral.